RNAcentral lists this ribosomal RNA (492 nucleotides) under uncultured bacterium. RNAcentral describes it as "partial 16S ribosomal RNA". It matches the Rfam family "Bacterial small subunit ribosomal RNA", at positions 29 to 507 of the family's 1533-position model. The record is from RNAcentral.
AGUGAACGCUGGCGGUAGGCCUAACGCAUGCAAUUCGAACGGCAGCACAGUAAGAGCUUGCUCUUACGGGUGGCGAGUGGCGGAUGGGUGAGGUAUACAUCGGAAUCUACUUUUUCUUGGGGGAUAACGUAGGGACACUUACGCUAAUACCGCAUACGACCUACGGGUGAAAGCAGGGGAUCUUCGUACCUUGCGCGAUUGAAUGAGCCGAUGUCGGAUUAGCUCGUUUGCGGGGUAAAGGCCCACCAAGGCGACGAUCCGUAGCUGGUCUGAGAGGAUGAUCAGCCACACUGGAACUGAGACACGGUCCAGAGUCCUACGGGAGGCAGCAGUGUGGAAUAUUGGACACUGGGCGCAAGCAUGAUCCAGCCAUACCGCGUGGGUGAAGAAGGCCUUCGGGUUGUAAAGCCCUUUUGUUGGGAAAGAAAAGCAGCAGGUUAAUACCCCGCUGUUCUGACGGUACCCAAAGAAUAAGCACCGGCUAACUUCGUG